This 500-nucleotide ribosomal RNA is filed under the name uncultured bacterium. RNAcentral describes it as "partial 16S ribosomal RNA". It matches the Rfam family "Bacterial small subunit ribosomal RNA", at positions 30 to 523 of the family's 1533-position model. The record is from RNAcentral.
AUUGAACGCUGGCGGAAUGCUUUACACAUGCAAGUCGAACGAUGAACCUUAGCUUGCUAAGGGGAUUAGUGGCGAACGGGUGAGUAAUGUAUCGGAACGUAUCCAAUAAUGGGGGAUAACUAGUCGAAAGAUUAGCUAAUACCGCAUACGUCCUACGGGAGAAAGCUAGGGACCUUCGGGCCUGGCGUUAAUGGAGCGGCCGAUAUCUGAUUAGCUAGUUGGUGGGGUAAAGGCUCACCAAGGCGACGAUCAGUAGCUGGUCUGAGAGGACGAACAGCCACACUGGAACUGAGACACGGUCCAGACUCCGACGGGAGGCAGCAGUGGGGAAUUGUGGACAAUGGGCGAAAGCCUGAUCCAGCCAUUCCGCGUGAGUGAAGAGGGCCUUCGGGUUGUAAAGCUCUUUCGCAAGGGAAGAAAACUUAAGCUCUAACAUAGCCUGAGGUUGACGGUACCUUGAUAAGAAGCACCGGCUAACUACGUGCCAGCCGCCGCCGUAA